GGCUGUUCUCGGGUGACACACCCCAGAAUUGGGCUCCCUCCUCUCUGGUUCCAGGUGCGUCACCCAAGAACUGUA
Molecule: non-coding RNA, 75 nt
Organism: Myotis lucifugus (little brown bat)
Lineage: Eukaryota; Metazoa; Chordata; Mammalia; Chiroptera; Vespertilionidae
Source: Rfam